RNAcentral lists this ribosomal RNA (365 nucleotides) under uncultured bacterium. RNAcentral describes it as "bacterial SSU rRNA". It matches the Rfam family "Bacterial small subunit ribosomal RNA", at positions 976 to 1362 of the family's 1533-position model. The record is from RNAcentral.
AACCCUUGACAUGGGCGUCGCGGAUCCAGAGAUGGUUCUUUCAGUUCGGCUGGACGCCACACAGGUGCUGCAUGGCUGUCGUCAGCUCGUGUCGUGAGAUGUUCGGUUAAGUCCGGCAACGAGCGCAACCCACACUCUUAGUUGCCAGCAUUCAGUUGGGCACUCUAGGAGAACUGCCGGUGAUAAGCCGGAGGAAGGUGUGGAUGACGUCAAGUCCUCAUGGCCCUUACGGGUUGGGCUACACACGUGCUACAAUGGUGGUGACAAUGGGAUAAUCCCAAAAAGCCAUCUCAGUUCGGAUUGGGGUCUGCAACUCGACCCCAUGAAGUCGGAAUCGCUAGUAAUCGCGUAACAGCAUGACGCGG